ACACCUGCUAGCUUGGGUUGACCUGUAGUUCAGUCUCAUUUGUUGUAAUUGGUCAUUUGUAGCGACAUUUUAACUCGGCGAAGAAUGAUGUAAUGAUACAGGAGGGACACUAGAACUGUUUACUUUAAGGUUUAAAGUCUAUUAAAAGUCUUUAAAUGGUCUAGGAAGUGUCAUCUAGAAUCACAAAUUACGAUUGAAGGAGAGCUAACGGCAGUUCCUGAAAAUGGAUCCUUCUCUUCAAAACACGCCGUCUCCUGUCUUUCCCUGAGCGAUGUGCUCGGCGCCUGAGGACUCAGUCCUACCUGUGAUUCAAGUGCACAGCUGUCCCACCUGACAAUUAUAAAUGGUGUCUCCUUACACUGGCAUCAUUGAAAUCACAGGAGAGCAUGAUAAAUGGUGAAGGAGGUGUACUGAAUAAUACAUGACCCCUGUUUGGCCUUCCUUGAAAAUAAACCAGAAACAACAACAUCGCCAACCACCAAUAGAUGGCAGCACUAUACAAAGGUCAACAAAACUGUGGUGAAAAGUUGAUGGGGCAGGCGAUGAAGACGGGUCUUUAUUGAGGAGAACAAUAGUGAGGAGUUACAGCAGAAGAGACCUCCAAAGUAUGCGCAGUACAUGCAGAACUGCAACAAAGGUCAGGUAUGCAAAUCCCAUUGAGGAGUACACACUGUCUUAGAUAAGUGUUUCUCAAUGGGUUUUGCUUCCGCACACUGGACAUCACAGAAGCUGCCAAAAUCAUUACAAACAAACAUUUUGCUAUUAUUUACAAUAAAUGGUUUGUUGGAUCUUGGAUUUAACAUGCUUUUCACCUGUAUCCACAAUCUUAUUUGAACAUAUUUACUACCCAUUUUUGGAAAACGCCUUUUUAGAUAAUAUGAAUUAUUGCAUUUUUCUUUAUUUAGAAAAAUAACCAACAAAGAUUAAAUACCAUUCAUAUUCAUUUCAUAUUUAAGUUACAUUAAUAUAUGUUCUACAUCAUCAUAUGAAUAUUGGUUUAAUAUGUGGAUGUGCCUCUGAACAUAUUUCAGCCCCACUACAGAAAAACUAGAUAGAUAGAUAGAUUGACAUACCACGGUCUGUCUGAAUACUCGAUUCUGAGUGGCUGGAAAGUGUGUAAUAAAACCGUUUAAGGCACAGGUAGUUGGUCACUGAACCACUGAAUUGAAUAACACAAAAUUGGUAUUAUUUUAAAACUUUUUUUAAAAUUUUGAUCAACUCUUAAAGAGUGCUGAGUAGUCCCUCUAAAACUGAGUGCACUCAUGGGCGCCACCUAGCUACGAAAAGAAUAAUGAUCAUAUUUUUCAAAACUACUUCAUUGAUCUACACAAAAUCGGUGUCAUAUGAAAGCUUAGAAUCUGAACUUUACAACGCAUGUAGCCUAAUUGAUUGACUCCCAAGUAGUGCUGAGUUAUUUGCUGAUAAAAAAAAAAAUGUUUUCAUAAUUUAUGAAAUACUUUUUUGUACUAUGUAAUAUGUCAAAAA
Megalobrama amblycephala (Wuchang bream) is the source of this 1485-nucleotide long non-coding RNA. RefSeq lists it as uncharacterized. The transcript is spliced from 3 exons. Lineage: Eukaryota; Metazoa; Chordata; Actinopteri; Cypriniformes; Xenocyprididae. The record is from RefSeq and is a predicted model, not a curated record.